Molecule: long non-coding RNA, 262 nt
Filed under: Theropithecus gelada (gelada)
Lineage: Eukaryota; Metazoa; Chordata; Mammalia; Primates; Cercopithecidae
Description: lncRNA (ENSTGEG00000010760.1)
Source: RNAcentral
ACGGAACCUCCUUCCGUUUUAGGAUUAUAAAUGAAUUCUGAUUUGGGGAAGCAGACGCCAACUUAGAGCCUCGUACCAAUCUCUCUGUCUUUAAAAGAAUGUUAACGAAACUGUCACCUUGGUGAGAAGAUCAUUCUAAUAGCUUUAUUCUGGCAUAUGGAGGUAUGGAGAGCUUGAAGGAGUUGGAAAGGUGCCCAGCUAAGACCAGGAUGCCAUCACCCUACCCAGGGCUCUGCAGUUUUCUCAUGGUGAACCCUUAAUG